This 448-nucleotide ribosomal RNA is filed under the name Lancefieldella parvula. RNAcentral's name for it is "bacterial SSU rRNA". It matches the Rfam family "Bacterial small subunit ribosomal RNA", at positions 40 to 502 of the family's 1533-position model. The record is from RNAcentral. Lineage: Bacteria; Bacillati; Actinomycetota; Coriobacteriia; Coriobacteriales; Atopobiaceae.
CGGGCGUCUUAACAUGCAAGUCGAACGAUUAAAGCACCUUCGGGUGUGUAUAAAGUGGCGAACGGCUGAGUAACACGUGGGCAACCUGCCCCUUUCAUUGGGAUAGCCACGGGAAACCGUGGAUAAUACCGAAUACUUCGAGACUUCCGCAUGGAAGACUCGAGAAAGCUCCGGCGGAGAGGGAUGGGCCCGCGGCCUGUUAGCUUGUUGGUGGGGUAACGGCCUACCAAGGCAAUGAUGGGUAGCUGGGUUGAGAGACCGACCAGCCAGAUUGGGACUGAGACACGGCCCAGACUCCUACGGGAGGCAGCAGUGGGGAAUCUUGCACAAUGGGCGAAAGCCUGAUGCAGCGACGCCGCGUGCGGGAUGAAGGCCUUCGGGUUGUAAACCGCUUUCAGCAGGGACGAGGCGAAAGUGACGGUACCUGCAGAAGAAGCCCGGGUAAUUC